UCCGGUUUGGCACCGGCAGUCUCCCCAGAGUUCCCGGCAUGACCCGCUGGCAACUGAGGACAAGGGUUGCGCUCGUUGCGCCACUUAAGGCAACACCUCACGGCACGAGCUGACGACAGCCAUGCACCACCUGUGCAGGCUCCGUAGAGCGCCGGCUUUCACCGGCUUUACCCUGCAUGUCAAGCCCAGGUAAGGUGGGGAUGACGUUCGUCUGAC
Molecule: unclassified non-coding RNA, 216 nt
Filed under: uncultured Actinomycetes bacterium
Lineage: Bacteria; Bacillati; Actinomycetota; Actinomycetes
Description: uncultured actinobacterium contains 16S-23S intergenic spacer region
Source: RNAcentral